Molecule: long non-coding RNA, 2406 nt
Filed under: Cyanistes caeruleus (blue tit)
Lineage: Eukaryota; Metazoa; Chordata; Aves; Passeriformes; Paridae
Description: lncRNA (ENSCCEG00000020567.1)
Source: RNAcentral
AAAAAAUUGAAGACCAGAACCAGGAUGAAGCAAGAGAUCUCAGUGGCUUUGGGAUGCAGCUGCUCUGGGUGCAGUUAGUGAAAUACUUUUGCAAAAGCCCAUAGAAAAAGCAACGAAGCCUGAAUAUCUGGGAUGGGCAAGCAGGUGUUGGAUGUGCUCCUCACAGCUGGCAUGAAGUGCUGGGAAAAAGCACUGGAGGGGAAUUGGAGAAAACCCAUCCUCAUGAGCUGGCCACGUGUGCUUGAGGCAGUGGGAUGCUGGAAGCUCUUUAAAUGUUUGGAGAAGAAAACUCCCAGAAAGCUAGUAAGUCUUUUUCAUUUGGAUCCCGCUGAUACAAAUAACCACAGGUUUUGGGCUGAAACAUCAGCAGUCACCUCUUUCCCUUGCCAGCUGGCAUGGCAAGCUAAUUUUAACCUCCCAAGCUCCCUCCCAUCUCCUGGAGGUUGCCCUGUUGCAGCCAGGGAGUGCUAGAAAAUAGUGCAUCGCCCACUCAUCCAGCCUCCUUCAAGGGAAAUAUUUAUAUGAUGCCAAAGAGAGGGUUUCCAUGGCAGUGAUGACUCUAGCACCGUCGCCUUGGAAACCACUUGAGGCCAUCUUGAAGGGUUUGAAAAUCCCCUUCAGAGACAAAUAAGGAGAGGGAGAAGAAAGGCCACUGAGAUCAGAGUGGCGUUCUGGUCUCCCCUGAUUUCCCUGUCAGCUCCUUGCCUGCUCCUGCUGCCUGGGUCCCUGCCCAUGCCACUGGGAUGAUUUGUAGUCCAGGUGCUGCUUCACGGAUAGACCCAGGACAAAGAAAUGAAGUGCUUUGCAAACAUAAAUGGUUCAGUUGAUGCUUCCUCCUGCUUCCCAAACCAUCCUGCAGUGACUCUGGUGUCAGGGCACUGCUCAGCCCCAGAGGAGGCUCCAGGGAGACUCCCCUGCACCAGCGAAAGCCGGGGAGAUUAUUAGUGCCUGCCCAACUUCAAGCACCAGCUGCUUUUAGAGCAGCAAAUACACAGGUUCUUUGCCAGCCUAAGUCCCCAUCCCACGUGUAGAGCCCCGUGUUUCUCCUGAGGAGCUGCCAAAAUCCGAACCACAAGCAAGAGGCGGCUGCUGGCACCAGAGCGCUCGCCUGUAGUGGUGGAAGGAGUGCACCUCUGUGUCACACACACACACCCCAGGCUCAGCCCCUGCACCCCGCGGCUCAGCUCCCAUAGCCGUGGCUCAGAUGACCGAGUGCCUCUGGCCACUUUGGCUCCCAGUCUGCAGGAGCUCUGUCACUGGCAGCCAGUCCAUCUGGCUCUCAAGGACACCAAGAAGACGGCAAGGAAAGCAAAGCUUUCGGAGCAGAUGGAUGAUGAGCUCUACGAUGCAGCUGGCAGCAGCAGGGUUGGCCAGUGUUGCUGCUUGUUCAAGCUAUGGGACUGCCUUCUUUGGGGUUUUGCUGAAAAAUAUUAGUUAUCUCCUUUAUUUUAUGGUAAUCUAAAAGAUUUUCUUCCUUGUCCCUGAGCUGCCUCCAUGCUGAGGAGUCAGUGACUUUCCAAGCCACAGCUCUUCCCUGGCACCCACACUUUGCUCUGCAGAGCCGCCUCCCACCCCCACCUAUGGGUACCUUCACACCACCUCACCCUCCAACACCCAGACAGCUUCACCACACAGAAACACCUGUGCAGCGCUUAGUCCCUCCACCAAAACCCAAGGGAGGGUCUGGCCACAGUGCCAGUACCAGGUUAACUCACUUCUCUCCAUCCCACUGCCUGUGCCAGGCUGCCUGCUCCUGCCUGCACCUCGAGGGAGCAUUUAGGGGUGCAAGGGAGCGCCUACUUCACUCUUGACCUACAGUGCGUGAAAAUCCAGGUUUAUACUGAUGCAGCUUCUCGUGUGUUGAAUAUUGAAACACAUGGGUAUGAGGCCAGGGGUGUUUGGCUUUGCCCAGGAGGGAGCUCAUAGCACACUAUGUGUCACAAAAUUCAUGCCUGGCCAGUGCUGACCCAGGUGCCAGGUAAAUAAUAUUUAUUCAUGGGCAUGAGAUGUCCUAGCCAAAGGGGGGCACCCAGGUAUGGUUUUCAUGAUGUUCUUACAUGCAUCAAGCAUUCAGGUAAAACAGAACUUGACUGAGCACUGACACCCACACUAACAGAUCUCCAGUCACAGUAAAACUUGGCAAAGCCGCUCUGUUUCUGCUUGGCGAUCGAUCCAGGAGUCCUGGAGUCCCUCUGGCUGCAGUGACUGACCUGUGACACCAGCCGGGGCUGGGAGGGUCUCAGAGCCUGGGGUGCUGUGCUACCUUGCUCAUCCCAGGGAUAAAGCUGCUCUUUAUCCCUCGGGGACUGCUCUAAAAGCAAAGUGCUUCUCUCCAGGGCUGGGCUGUUUGUUUUACUUCAGCACGAACAAUAUCGGAGUCUGCAAUAAAACUCCACUACCUCAUCA